UCCAAAUCCAAACCCAAAACUCAAAUCCAACUUCUAACUUAGGUUCAUGAACCUAAGUUCGUGAACCAAAUCCCAAAUUCUAUACCCAAGUUCAUGAAUCAAGUCUCAUGAACCAAAACUCAUAAACCAAGUUCAUGAACCACGAACCAAAUCCAUGAACCUUACCCAAGUUCGUGAACCAAACACCACAGAUCAUAACCUAAGUUCAUGAAUCAAGGCCUAUGAACCAAAAUAAACCAAGUUCAUAAACUAUAUCCAAUAUACCCAACUUCAUAAACCAUAAACCAAGUUCAUGGACCAAAUCCCAUGAACCAAAACCAAACCUCAUGGACCAAAUCACAUGAGCCAAAACCAAGUUCAUGGACCAAAUCCCAUGAGCCAAAACCAAACCUCAUGGACCAAAUCCCAUGAACCAAAACCUAACCUCAUGGACCAAAUCCCAUGAGCCAAAACCAAACCUCAUGGACCAAAUCCCAUGAGCCAAAACCAAACCUCAUGGACCAAAUCCCAUGAACCAUACAUCCAACCUAAUACCCAUAUCCCAUGAACCAAUACCCAAAUCUCAUAAACCAAUGCUCAUAUCCCAUGAACCAAUACUCAAAUCUCAUAAACCAAUGCCCAAAUCUUAUGAACCAAUGCCCGGAUCAAAUACCCAUAUCUCAUGAACCAAUUAGACUCUAAUACAUAAAGUUUAAUAUCGUUUAGGUCUUAACACAUAUACUUAGGGUCUAAUCAACCUCAAAUCCAAUUGAAUCCUAAUACAUAUACUUAGGAUUCAAUAAACCGAGAUACGAUCCAUCUCAUCCAAUCUAUAAAGGUCUCUUAAUCGAAGGUGCCCCAAUCUACAGGGGGUAAUUAACAGUAGAUGCUUGCAUCUAUUGGAAGUCAUGUACCCGCAAAACCUGAUACCCACACAUACAUAUAAAUACUCAUCUGAAUCAUGAAUACUACCUCACUGCCCGAAAAAUCCAUCGACCGUGCGAGGUGCGUCAUUCGUGGUGGCAGACACACGCUU
This 1015-nucleotide long non-coding RNA is filed under the name Ananas comosus (pineapple). RNAcentral's name for it is "long non-coding RNA (ACOM_LNC030753)". The record is from RNAcentral. Lineage: Eukaryota; Viridiplantae; Streptophyta; Magnoliopsida; Poales; Bromeliaceae.